Long non-coding RNA from Hippocampus comes (tiger tail seahorse), 971 nucleotides. RefSeq lists it as uncharacterized. The transcript has 5 exons. The record is from RefSeq and is a predicted model, not a curated record. NCBI's taxonomy places the organism in Eukaryota, Metazoa, Chordata, Actinopteri, Syngnathiformes, Syngnathidae.
UCCAUAUUCCUUGGGCACAGUGAGUACUGUUCAACACUCACCAUGUUAUUUAUUACACGGCAAGCAUUCAUUCACACAAGUGUGGUACUGUUAUGUUUGACUUUGUAAAGAUGAACGUAGAUAGAAAAUCAGCCAUGUUUAUGAUACACAGUGAAGGUGUCGAUGUGGAACCAAGAGACAUACCGUACUAGAAAUCGAUGAAAACACUGGAGAGAUUACAGUGCAUGGACUUUGAAAAACACAAAUCCUUGAAGCUGAUAUUUCAGGCAAUAGACAGGAUCAAAAAUGUAGUGGACACCCGACGGGUAAUUGACAUUCAAAUUAUUGAUGCAAAUGACCACUCGCCAGAGUUUGACCGUGAAAUAUCGGAGGUCACUGUGAAGGAGUCGACAUUACAAGGCGCCAGACUGAUUACGGUUCAGGCAGUAGAUGCUGACAUGCAAUUAAAAUAAAAUAUUUGAUUUACAAAUACUGUUAGUAACACCCAAACCACAUGACCUGGAGUUGUAUACCUUAAGAGAAGUGAUGCUCAAACUGGAACCAUUUCCUUUAAAGGGUGUCUGGAUUAUGAGAAAGCAAAGAAAUACACCAUUUUGGUGCAGGCCAAAGAUCGUGGGAAACCAAAGCAGCACUCCAGCUCCUGCACCGUCAUAGUUAAUAUAGAAGAUGAAAACAAUCACCUUCCUGUCAUAACAGGACAGACUGGUUCGGAAAAGUCAAAGAAGGGCUGAAAAAUGUUCUUAUUUUACGUCUUCAAGUCACUGACAAAGAUCGAAGAGGUACAGCAGCAUGGAGAGUGAAAUACAGGAUCCAUGGAGAAAUAAACAAGAAUUUCAGAAUCUCUACUCAAUACCAAGACAAAUGAAGGGUUACUGUAGGUGGAAAAGGUAUUUUGCCAAUACAUGUACUUUUAACCUAAUAGCCAACUGCUCCUGGUUGGCGGAUGGUGUAUUGUACUGUAAUUUACUUCU